Molecule: long non-coding RNA, 1916 nt
Organism: Nannospalax galili (Upper Galilee mountains blind mole rat)
Lineage: Eukaryota; Metazoa; Chordata; Mammalia; Rodentia; Spalacidae
Exons: 3
Source: RefSeq, a predicted model, not a curated record
CAGAUCUGAAGCAACACUUUGCAUGACCUUUGUCACGGGCAGUUAUUGAAUGUUUACUCACCCGAACUCUACUGGGCCUUGUACAUUCACCUUUGCCAGAGACUGUGUCUUCAGAGUCACCAGCAAGGCUCCCUCACCUGCUCCAUACACAUGCUCACAGAUGGCACUCUUGGGGACUGGAAGUACAGAUCCAAGACGCAGUUUCUCUUGGAGUAUUCAUAGCUCAACUGGAAAGCAAACCAUAAUGAAGCUGAGAAACAGACAAAUUUAGAAACUACGAAUUAAAAUGAUGCAGAGCCCAACGGGAUCACAAAGAGGAAACUGUCAUCAACAGCAAAAGCCCAACACAGAGGCAAAGCCACUGACAGGCACAACCUGAGACGUGGAGGGGAUUUGUGGGGAUUGCAGAGACUCCGAGAAGGCUGAAACUGCUGCCCCAAACCAGGAAGCAACCCAUCCUCCACUCUGCUCCAGCAUCAGCCCACUCACGGUUGGGGACCACAGCUCCAGCUCACGGGAGACAACCACAGCCCAGGCUCACAGGAGGGGGCCACAGCUCCAGGGUCAUGGGAGGGGUCAUAGUUUCAAUUACGCAGGUUCCUACUAUUUUUCUGUCUCCGUCUCUCUGUCCACAUGGUUAUGCUUAUGUUUAAGAAGAGCAUGUUGACUUCUGUGCAGCAAACAGAGGCAAGAGCUGCUUGUUGGCUUGAAUUUCUCGCUAGAGAGGGCAUCAGUUGAAGAAAACCACUUUUCACUUUUGCUCAAGGAGACAGACGAAUCAGUGUUCUUCUUGUUCAUGGUCUUUUGGUGUCCGCUGUUUUCACAUCUUCCUCCGUGGUCAGGGAGACAGGCGACGAGACAUCUUACCGGAGUUCCGUUGCAAGUCCUCUGAUUGAAACACAAAAGUCAUUUCCCACUUAAAACUCUCCACCUUCGCCAUGCCCUGGGCCAGGCACUUGAGGAGUAUACAACCAGCUCUGAGGUCCUCGUAAACCUUCCCUCUCUUCUCCAUUGCCCCGGGGCAGCUGUGCUGCCACCAUCUUGGCUCCCAGUUACUUUCUUUCUUAUUUGCCAAGACCUAAGAUCUUUGUAGGAGAUGUUUUCUCUUUCCAGAAAAAUUCUGGUACCCACAGAUGAGAACUCAGCUACAUUAUGCAAAAUGAGAGACACAGGAACAGUUUACUGGAUUCAUCACAGAUUAUACUCACAAACAGCACCGAAGCAGAAAGCCUCUUCAGAACAUCAGAUCGUGACCUGCUGUUGAUUUCCAGCAAUGAACAUCUGCCAUCCUUGGAAUAACAUAGACUAGAAGUUCUUUGAAACGAUGCCGUCCGCCUUUGCCAGUUGAAGAAUAGAAUCAUCUGACUCACCCAUCCUGCGAAUGGCUCCACAGAUAAGUUACCUUGCCAACCUCUGCCGCAUUCUUCUGGAUGGAUGCGUGGUCCUUCACACCAAUGAUGCGAUUGCUCACGGAACAUAACUCUCCGGCGUCGUUCUGCAUGUCUAGGCAAUGCCUGCUUCCUCCAGUCCAGCACCAGUGCAAAAAGGGGAAUAACCUAACUUUUAAGUAAUGUAUUUAAUGUGUGGGAAAUUUUCUUUGCCUCUUGUCUUGUAAACGGUGAACAAUGAACAGACUUUUCUCUCACAGUUCUUUGACUCAGGCAUAGUUUAUAAACAUAGUGAUGUUAUAAACAUAUAAUUAAACCUAGAUUACAUUAAUUAGUAAUAGAGAUAGGUAGAAGCAGACUGAGAAACAGAACUCUGAGCAUAGAUGUUGUCUGUUAUAUACACUGUAACAUUUGGCUGGAGUUUGUGUAGAGAUAAUUACAGUUUACUUAUAGUUGGCCAAUACUGAGGUCUAGCCAUAUGCAAUGUACCCUUCUAAUUUACUUGAUCUGUUUCGUUGAUUUCUCUGA